GGUGAGAUGGCCGAGUUGGUCCAUGGCGCGAGGUUAAGGUCACCUUAACGCGACUUCCUCGUGGGGAAACCCUCGUGGGUUCGAAUCCCACUCUCAUCA
RNAcentral lists this transfer RNA (99 nucleotides) under Hypoxylon crocopeplum. Its description in RNAcentral is "tRNA-Leu". It matches the Rfam family "tRNA". From Rfam's summary of the family: Transfer RNA (tRNA) molecules are approximately 80 nucleotides in length. Their secondary structure includes four short double-helical elements and three loops (D, anti-codon, and T loops). The record is from RNAcentral. Lineage: Eukaryota; Fungi; Ascomycota; Sordariomycetes; Xylariales; Hypoxylaceae.